Unclassified non-coding RNA from Dipodomys ordii (Ord's kangaroo rat), 95 nucleotides. Ensembl annotates it as predicted gene, 27404. NCBI's taxonomy places the organism in Eukaryota, Metazoa, Chordata, Mammalia, Rodentia, Heteromyidae. The record is from Ensembl.
CCCUCCCUUCUCCACGCCCCCCCCCCUUCAAGCCUUUGGCAUCAUUAUCCUCAUCACUAAAUCCUACAGAGUACAGGGCGGAAAACCGUGCACAU